GGCCGCCUGGCGAAAUGGCAUCGCGUCUGAUUACGAAUCAGGAGAUUGCAGGUUCGACCCCUGCGGUGGUCA
This 72-nucleotide transfer RNA is filed under the name Fistulina hepatica ATCC 64428. RNAcentral describes it as "tRNA-Arg (ACG) (tRNA-Arg-ACG-2-1)". It matches the Rfam family "tRNA". From Rfam's summary of the family: Transfer RNA (tRNA) molecules are approximately 80 nucleotides in length. Their secondary structure includes four short double-helical elements and three loops (D, anti-codon, and T loops). Lineage: Eukaryota; Fungi; Basidiomycota; Agaricomycetes; Agaricales; Fistulinaceae. The record is from RNAcentral.